UACAGAGGGUGCAAGCGUUGUUCGGAAUUACUGGGCGUAAAGGGCGCGUAGGCGGCGACUCAAGUUAGAUGUGAAAGUCCUGGGCUUAACCUGGGGACUGCAUUUGAUACUGGGUUGCUUGAAUUCGGGAGAGGAUAGCGGAAUUCCCAGUGUAGAGGUGAAAUUCGUAGAUAUUAGGAGGAACACCAGUGGCGAAAGCGGCUCACUGGCUGAGUACUGACGCUAAGGCGCGAAAGCGUGGGGAGCAAACAGG
This 253-nucleotide ribosomal RNA is filed under the name uncultured bacterium. RNAcentral describes it as "partial 16S ribosomal RNA". It matches the Rfam family "Bacterial small subunit ribosomal RNA", at positions 524 to 776 of the family's 1533-position model. The record is from RNAcentral.